AAGACACCAGGAGGCUCUUCAUAGAGUUUCACGACUCACCGUUGGGUGGCCAUGGGGGGAUCGUAAGGACAUUGAAGGCGAUGUGUUCAAGGUUUUACUGGCAUGGCAUGUCUGUUGACAUUGAACAAUGGAUACUGGAAUGUGACAAAUGCCAGAAGGUUGGGAAGCCACUGACCUCUGUGCAACCCUUACAGUGUAUAAAGGUGUCUGCUGUCUGGGAGUUGGUAGGCAUUGACUUAACGGGCCAACUACCAAAAACCAAGGCUGGCCAUGAAUACAUCAUGACAGUCACUGA
Molecule: long non-coding RNA, 295 nt
Organism: Alosa alosa (allis shad)
Lineage: Eukaryota; Metazoa; Chordata; Actinopteri; Clupeiformes; Clupeidae
Exons: 3
Source: RefSeq, a predicted model, not a curated record